RNAcentral lists this ribosomal RNA (659 nucleotides) under uncultured archaeon. RNAcentral describes it as "bacterial SSU rRNA". It matches the Rfam family "Archaeal small subunit ribosomal RNA", at positions 175 to 817 of the family's 1478-position model. The record is from RNAcentral.
AGGAGAGAUGGCUUAAAGGGGUACGCGGGCUUCUUCUGCGUAUCCGCUCUAGGAUGGGACUGCGUCCGAUCAGGCUGUUGGCGGGGUAAUGGCCCACCAAACCUGUAACCGGUACGGGCCUUGAGAGAGGUGGCCCGGAGAUGGACACUGAGAGAAGGGUCCAGGUCCUACGGGGCGCAGCAGGCGCGAAACCUUCGCAAUGCGCGAAAGCGUGACGAGGUUAAUCCGAGUGACUUCCGCUGAGGAGGUCUUUUGUCAGCUGUAAAUAGGCAGGCGAAUAAGGGGAGGGCAAGCCUGGUGUCAGCCGCCGCGGUAAUACCAGCUCCUCGAGUGGUCGGGGCGAUUAUUGGGCCUAAAGCAUCCGUAGCCGGUUCCGUAGGUCCUCUGUUAAAUCCAACCGCUUAACGGUUGACCUGCAGAGGAUACCGCGGGACUAGGAGGCGGGAGAGGCGGACGGUACUCCGCGUGUAGGGGUAAAAUCCUUUGAUCCGCGGAAGACCACCAGUGGCGAAGGCGGUCCGCCAGAACGCGCUCGACGGUGAGGGAUGAAAGCUGGGGGAGCGAACCGGAUUAGAUACCCGGGUAGUCCCAGCCGUAAACGAUGCUAGCUAGAUGAUUCAUUCGCAAGUCGCGAAUGGAGUGUCGCAGGGAAGCCGUUA